RNAcentral lists this ribosomal RNA (375 nucleotides) under uncultured bacterium. RNAcentral describes it as "bacterial SSU rRNA". It matches the Rfam family "Bacterial small subunit ribosomal RNA", at positions 523 to 898 of the family's 1533-position model. The record is from RNAcentral.
AUACGUAGGGAGCAAGCGUUGUCCGGAAUUACUGGGCGUAAAGGGUGCGUAGGCGGCUAGGCAAGUCAGAUGUGAAAUACCCAGGCUUAACUUGGGGGGUGCAUUUGAAACUGCUUGGCUUGAGUGCAGGAGAGGAAAGCGGAAUUCCUAGUGUAGCGGUGAAAUGCGUAGAUAUUAGGAGGAACACCAGUGGCGAAGGCGGCUUUCUGGACUGCAACUGACGCUGAGGCACGAAAGCGUGGGGAGCAAACAGGAUUAGAUACCCUGGUAGUCCACGCUGUAAACGAUGGAUACUAGGUGUGGGGGAGAUACAACCUCCGUGCCGGAGCAAACGCAAUAAGUAUCCCGCCUGGGGAGUACGGUCGCAAGGCUGAA